Molecule: ribosomal RNA, 253 nt
Filed under: uncultured bacterium
Lineage: Bacteria
Description: partial 16S ribosomal RNA
Rfam family: Bacterial small subunit ribosomal RNA
Source: RNAcentral
UACGUAGGGUGCAAGCGUUGUCCGGAAUUAUUGGGCGUAAAGAGCUCGUAGGCGGUUUGUUGCGUCGGCUGUGAAAUCCCGAGGCUCAACCUCGGGUCUGCAGUCGAUACGAGCAAACUAGAGUGUUGCAGGGGAGACUGGAAUUCCUGGUGUAGCGGUGAAAUGCGCAGAUAUCAGGAGGAACACCGGUGGCGAAGGCGGCUUGCUGGGCCUUACCUGACGCUGAGGAGCGAAAGCGUGGGGAGCGAACAGG